CUCAGAUUGAACGCUGGCGGCAUGCUUUUACACAUGCAAGUCGAACGGUAACAGGUCUUCGGAUGCUGACGAGUGGCGAACGGGUGAGUAAUGCAUCGGAACGUGCCCAGUCGUGGGGGAUAACGCAGCGAAAGCUGUGCUAAUACCGCAUACGAUCUAUGGAUGAAAGCGGGGGACCGUAAGGCCUCGCGCGAUUGGAGCGGCCGAUGUCAGAUUAGCUAGUUGGUGGGGUAAAGGCCCACCAAGGCGACGAUCUGUAGCUGGUCUGAGAGGACGACCAGCCACACUGGGACUGAGACACGGCCCAGACUCCUACGGGAGGCAGCAGUGGGGAAUUUUGGACAAUGGGCGCAAGCCUGAUCCAGCAAUGCCGCGUGCAGGAAGAAGGCCUUCGGGUUGUAAACUGCUUUUGUACGGAACGAAAAGGUCCGGGUUAAUACCCUGGGCUCAUGACGGUACCGUAAGAAUAAGCACCGGCUAACUACGUG
Molecule: ribosomal RNA, 488 nt
Filed under: uncultured bacterium
Lineage: Bacteria
Description: bacterial SSU rRNA
Rfam family: Bacterial small subunit ribosomal RNA
Source: RNAcentral